Anolis carolinensis (green anole) is the source of this 170-nucleotide small nuclear RNA. Its record names the gene U2. It matches the Rfam family "U2 spliceosomal RNA". Rfam says of the family: U2 is a small nuclear RNA (snRNA) component of the spliceosome (involved in pre-mRNA splicing). NCBI's taxonomy places the organism in Eukaryota, Metazoa, Chordata, Lepidosauria, Squamata, Anolidae. The record is from Ensembl.
AUCGCUUCUCGGCCUUUUGGCUAAGAUCAAGUGUAGUAAGUGGUCAUAUUUUGAAAUUUUGGUAUGAUUAAAUUAAUUGUAAAAAAUUACCAUUCCAGGCUCAUGAAGCAGGAUUUUGGGAGAGAAUGGUCAGUGUUCAAUAGGAGACCACCCAUUGGAAUGCCCCUUAC